Molecule: ribosomal RNA, 428 nt
Filed under: Chloroflexota bacterium
Lineage: Bacteria; Bacillati; Chloroflexota
Description: Chloroflexi bacterium partial 16S ribosomal RNA
Rfam family: Bacterial small subunit ribosomal RNA
Source: RNAcentral
UGGGGAAUAUUGCACAAUGGGCGCAAGCCUGAUGCAGCCAUGCCGCGUGUAUGAAGAAGGCCUUCGGGUUGUAAAGUACUUUCAGCGGGGAGGAAGGGAGUAAAGUUAAUACCUUUGCUCAUUGACGUUACCCGCAGAAGAAGCACCGGCUAACUCCGUGCCAGCAGCCGCGGUAAUACGGAGGGUGCAAGCGUUAAUCGGAAUUACUGGGCGUAAAGCGCACGCAGUCGGGUUGUUAAGUCAGAUGUUAAAUCCCCGGGGUCAACCUGGGAACUGGAUAUGGAAGUGGCAAGGGUGAGUCGUGGAGAGGGGGGUAGAAAUCCAGGUGGAGCGGUGAAAGGCGGAGAGAUCUGGAGGAAUACCGGAGGCGAAGGCGGCCCCCUGGACGAAGACUGACGCUCAGGUGCGAAAGCGUGGGGAGCAAACAG